This is a long non-coding RNA of Salvia miltiorrhiza (redroot sage), 1218 nucleotides long. RefSeq lists it as uncharacterized. The record is from RefSeq and is a predicted model, not a curated record. The transcript has 2 exons. Lineage: Eukaryota; Viridiplantae; Streptophyta; Magnoliopsida; Lamiales; Lamiaceae.
CAACUAUAAAAUCUUGAUCAAUAGACAUUCUCUUUUUGAAAAAUAAACAUUUUAUAGCCUCCCAAUGAAAAAGAAUAGAAAAUAAAUGAUUAAAUGGUGGUGAAAUCCAACGGGGGCGACAUGGGAACAUAUAACUGACCGAUCGUCAUCUUACAUGUUCUCAGGUCGCCCCUGCAGGAUUUCUAUCCACUCUCAUUCAUGAGAUCGUCCACGUCACCAAUUAUCAGAUUUAGGUGUUACUUGGAAUUGCCUACAACAUAUCUCAAUCUAAAAUCGAAAUUCUAUUUCUUUGACCUUCAAAACAUGGAAAAAUGAAGACAAGAAAGAAAUCUUGAAGAAUCUUGGGAGUUAGAUCAUCAGUUUUACAGCUGAUGCAAUGCCAAACAACUCUCCCUCUUCAACUUUCUUCCACACCCCAUCAAUCAUCAGAUGCCCUUUAAUGCCUUGUGCAAUUGAAUCACAACAAUCUGCAUCAGUCCCUACCCUUUUCACAGGCGUGCAGUCCAUUUUCUCCGUGCUAAUCUCAGCUUCUCUUUUACCAUUCCUCUCUUUGCAGCUAAUUUCUUUGGUACCCGACACCGUGACGACUUCCACGCGGCUCUCAACGCAGUCGAGGGCAGGAAGAGUGCCUGAAAAGCCGAUCGUAUGAGGCAGCAUGCCGAUGGGACAUGGAGUCCAUGAUUUGGCCACACUCCAUCUCCUCUUAGUCCCAACCUCACCGGGACCCCGUUGUUCAUGUCUCCUCUGCAUCCGUUGUCGCUUGAUUGACUCGAGCUUCUCUUUGGCUUGAUGAAUGGAGCACUCUUGGCGCGAAAGAAGGGUGUCGUCGUUAGGGAUUAGCACCGAUGGCUGCUCUAGUAAAGCAAGCUUCUUGAGUUUCUGGACUAGCGAGCUCCCUCUGGCCAGUUGUGCUAGGGUAACGGCCGAAGCCACGAGCUGCUUGUUGCCGGGCAUGGAGGCCAAGAGGCAUCUCUGCAGUAAUCCUAAAACAGUUGCUCUUGGGAGAAGUUUCUCCAUCUUGGAGGCUUUGGCUUCUGCAGAUUCCUUCGAACCAACAGGAGACUUCUGCAGUGUCUUCAGAUUUUCGACGAGCCAUUCAAAUAAAUACGAAAGCAAUUCAGAUCGACGAGUUUUUGCAGUGUUCACAGGAGAUUGAUGGUCACCUGAUAAACAAAAUAAAAACAGAUUCUUUCUAUCAAGUAAACUAUUACCUCAUUC